This is a long non-coding RNA of Equus caballus (horse), 5288 nucleotides long. The record is from Ensembl. NCBI's taxonomy places the organism in Eukaryota, Metazoa, Chordata, Mammalia, Perissodactyla, Equidae.
GUUUAUCGUCCCUUCCUCUGAGCCGGACACUGUGGCCUCACUUAAUCCUCAAACCCUCCCAAGGGCAGUAAGGUACCCUAAUUUCCAUUGUCUUCCAAGGAAGAAAAAUGAAGCCCAGAGAAGUCACGGAACUUGUCCAAGGUCACCCAGCAAGGACUCAGGGGAGCGGGAUUCACAGCCAGUCGGCAGGGGUCCCGCACGGCAGGGAAGAAGGAGAAAAAGAAAGAAAAUGGGAAGAUAAAGGCUGCAGAGCCCGAGGGGGACUUUUCAGCCAUUUUACAAAAUAUCUGGCACGCGCUUUUCAAAAAUGCUAAGAUGGCAAAAUACCAAGACUCGAGAACUGUUUCCAGUUAAAGGAGCUAAAGAGACAUGGCAACCGAAUGCAAAGUGUGAGCUGGGGUUUUACUGGGAUGGAGGGUGAAAUCAGGAUGAGGUCUCCAGAUUAGGUAACAGUACUGUGUCUGUGUCAAAUCCCUGAUUUUGACAAGCGUACUGCAGUUAUGUAAGAAAAUGUUCCUGCUUUUAGGAAAUAUACACUGAAGUAUUGAUUUUUUUUUUUGGGUGAGGAAGAUUGGCCCUGAGCUAACAUCCGUGCCCAUCUUCCUCUAUUUUGUAUGUGAGAGGCCACCACGGCGUGGCUUGAUGAGCUGUGUGCAGGUCCACAUGAGGGAGCCGAACCUGCAAACCCCAGGCCACCAAAGUAGAGUGGGCAACCUGACCACUCCAUCACCGGGCUGGCCCCAAGAAAACCUGUUUUUAGAUGGUUCAGAAAAAAAUAAUCUCUGUGCAUGUGUGCGUGUGCGUGUGCGUGUGUGUGUGUGUGUAGGUAGGUAGUGGGGAGAAAAAGAGAGAGAGAGAGAAAGUAGUAAAAUGUUAAUACUGGGGAAUCUGGAUAAAGGAUAUCCAGGAAUUCUUUGUAUGACUUUUGCAACUUUUCUCUAAGUCUGAAAUUGUUUUAAAAUUUGAAACACAUUUAAAAGAAACUUUACAUUGCUGUUAGAAGCGGGAAACCAGCACCGCUUGCUCAGAAUUGAAGGUGAUUCUAAAAUGAAGCAAUGCUCUUACUCUUGCUGGUACACUGGUCUGCUAGGUCUGGGCCCUAGACCGCCUGUUCUUGGCUCUGGGUGCGGAUGGGCGAGGGCGGGGAGGCGUCAAGACAUCCUGGCGCCAGCCCAAGAUGUUCUCCUUGAUGUCAUGAGAAAGACUGGCACGGAGUAGAAAAGGCCAUCGCUUUCUCAUGAUGUGAUCCGAUGAUAUUUAGAGUCCUGUCCUAUGGGUACGAGCUCAGGGACAUUCAUUUCAUGUCAGUUUAACAGGCACCCUGGGGCCAGGACCGUAUGGAGCCCUGGCACCCAGAGAGGACGAGGUCUCCGCCCUCAGGAAGCUCACGAGCUGGGCAGAGACACUUAUGGGCAGGACUGGGGUGGAUGUGUGUCCAGGUAGAGCUCGCUUCUCCGAAUCCCGACGCUCCUGGGGUCCCUUGGAGUCCAGAGGUGAUGACCCUGGGGCUAGCAGGUGGCCCGGGAGCAGGCACACAGCAGGAACAGCUCAGAGUUGGCAAAGAAAAGAGAACAUUAUCAGUGUGUGAGAAAUGAGGUGGCAGGACCCAGCCCCACAGCCGUUCACAUCUGGACGAUGGAACAGCCUGAGCCAACGUGGUCUUCAGUGUCCCUUCUGAUGCCUCCCGGUACCCGCACUCGUCCUGCUCCCUGCUUGAACUGCAAGCCAGGCUUUCUCCCUCAUCUUUCUUUUUUUUUUUUUUGUUUGAGGAAGAUUAGCCCUGAGCUAACUGCUGCCAAUCCUCCUCUUUUUGCUGAGGAAGACUGGCCCUGAGCUAACAUCCAUGCCCAUCUUCCUCUACUUUAUAUGUGGGACACCUACCACAGCAUGGAGUGCCAAGCAGUGCCAUGUCCACACCCGGGAUCCAAACCGACGAACCCCGGGCUGCCGAGAAGCAGAACGUGCGCACUUAACCGCUGCACCACCAGGCCGGCCCCUCUUCCUCAUCUUUCUUGUGUGCCAACAAAUAUUGUUGAACGCUAGAUGAAGGAUCUCGUCACCCGCUGGGAAUGACAAGAUUUACACAUCCCAAGUAGAGGACCACAUAGAAAGGAGAGGCAGACUGAAAGACGCCUCUAAACAUCCCCUUGAUGCUGACUGAAUCACCCACAUGAGCGGAUACAGGAGCGCUCAAGCUACCACUGCCUGCCACCCACCUUCCUAGCAGAAGCAACGAGACACAGAGCGGUGGGCAGAACCUCAAACCCACCAGGUCACCAGCCCCAACUUCCCUUCUCUUGUCAUCCAGAACACUGCCAAGUCUUGAGGUCAGGAAAGGAAGGACGUCCAAGGGGACCGUUCCACAUACACGUGUGAAGCCCUCCCUGGAAGGGAUAGUGAGCCUCAUGACCUGCCUGCGAAGUCCGGGACCACGAUCCCACUGUGGAGAUGAGAGAACUUAUGCUCAGAGGCCUCGGGGCUAUGCCCACAGGCCGCACUGUCGCUGACAGAGCUGAGACGCCAGUCCAGACUCCUGAGUCCAAAGUUUAGGUGUUUCCCUCUCAAAGGUCUCAAACUGGCAGCUCCGGGGCCAAAUUAGACCUGUCGAUGUGCUUUUGGAGGCCAGCUCGAUGCUUUUAAUUUUUUUGAAAUGAACGGCCAACAUUUGAAAAUCAGAUUUCACAUAGACUUCCAGAUUUCUGGUUUCAUUUGACAAACUGAAAACUUUGACAACCCCAGGCCUGGAACCUCAACAACUGGCUGCAAUCGGUUGGGGAUGGAGCAAGAAGAGGCGACCCUCUGAGCAUUGAAUGAUGCUGGGACGGGGCCCCUUCAGCAGCAUCACCACCAUCCACCCAUGGCCGAUGCCUGAAAUCCUGCUGUUAGCACGUGAUCUCUUUGGUUAAGGAGUUGCCUCUUCAGGGGUCAUUUUCAAAGGCGAGUACUCCUGGAAGGUAUCAACCAUUCACACUUGAGUAUGAAUUGCUUUCCCAGCCUUCCCAAAUUUUUACAGAUGCUUGAGAACUGAGACACUUUGUCCAAGCAGCACACUUUUUUCAGAUAAAAAGUCUGAAACCGGAGAGGUGAAAUGCUUUGUUUGUGAUUAGGAGCAGAGCUGGAGCCAGAAUGUGGAUUCCCUGAGUCUGUGGCCUAGGGCAGCGGUCAGCAAACCUUUCCUGUAAAUGGUCAGAUAGUAAAUAUUUCAGAAUUUGCUGGCCAGAUGGUCUCUAUUGCAACUACCCCAUUCUGCAGCAGUGCUGUGAAAGCAGCCGUAGACAAUAUGAAAUGAAUGAGCAUGGAUGUGUUCCAAUCAAAUUCUAUUUAUGGUGCUAAAAGUUGAAUUUCAUAUAAUUUUUGUAUGUCAUGAAAUAUCCUUCUUUUGGCUUUUUUUCAACCAUUUAAAAAUGCAAAAACCAUUCUCAGUCUGCAGGCCACACAAAACCAAGCCCUGAGCCAGACUGAGCCCGAGGGCUGGAGCCCAUUUACCCAGGCCUAGAGCAAUGGUUUCGAGAAAACUGCACCAUAGGCCCUCUCCCACUUUUAAGUUGUUUCUAAAGUGUUUUCUCAAAAGCCUGAUGAAGCAGGAUGUGAUUCAGAAUUUGUAUUCAAUGUCAUAUUUUAAAUACUGACAUUUUAAAAGAAAACUGUUACAUCACCCUUUUAAAUGAACAUAGUGGAAGAGAAUUUUGACAUCCACCAUCAUCCUUUUUCUUUUUCAAUUUUUUUAUUGUGGUAAAACGCACACGAUACAAAAUUUACUGUCUUAGCCAUUUUUAAGUGUCCAGGUCCGUGGUAUUAAAUAUGUUCAUAAUGCUGUGCAACCAUCACCACCAUCCUUCUCCAUAGCUCUUUUCAUCUUGUAAAACGGAAACUCUGUCCCCAUUAAAUACUAACUUCCCAUUCCCCCCUCCCCCUAGCCCCUGGAGGCCACCAUUCUACUUUCUGUCUCUAGGAUUUUGACUACCCUAAGUAUCUCAUGUAAGUGGAAUUGUACAGUAUUUGUCUUUUUGGGACUGGCUUAUUUCACUUAGCAUCAUGUCCUUGGAGUCUAGCCAUGUCGUAGCAUGUGGCAGAAUCUCCCUCCUUUUUAAGAGUGCAUAAUAUUCCAUUGUGUGAAUAGACUGCAUUUUCUUACCAUUCGCGUCUGUCAAUGGACCGCUUCCAUAUUUCAGUUACUGUGAACAACGCUGCUAUGAACACAGAUGUUGAAGCCCGCCCCAAAAUAUGCCACUUAAGGCAUAAGGAUUAUUUUCAGUUAAAGGCACUUGAAAUAACAGCAAAUACAAGAAAAACGCUUUGACCUUCCUUCUUUUUCUUAAGAGCAGGAGAUGAAAUUCCCAUAGGAAAGAUGUCGUCCCUACCCCAGAAGGAAAGGAUAUUAUUUCCUGCUAAAAUGAGUCAGGCAUUAGCAUCCUAUUUUUCAUUUUUAUAGACGUGAGCGCUGACUGGAUGGGACUAGAAGGAAUUUUUUUUACAGUGACGCCACUCAAUCUUUCAACUGUGACCAAGUGAUGAGCCAGACAUCACAAAGUCACCUAGCAUCAAAUUGCUUUUUAAUUUUUAAGAUUCUGUGGCAAGCAAAAGCUGGAAACCAGCUGACUUGCAAAAGGAUUUGUUAUCUCAGAGUCACUAACUUCCUCGUCACCAGCGCCUACACUUCGAAUGGUCCCUUUGUUGGCACCCAGUAGGAUGGGGGAUGGGUUAGGCCUGCAUCGUUUUGGUCCAGUGAAAGAGCUAUUAGGGAAGGUGUGGAUGGGGAGGGGUCCAGAAGGACGGCGAGGAUCCCUGGGAAUCGAGUCCCUUAAGACCACCCGGGCCCUUCCCAUCUGAAGACCACCAGCCCAGUGCAAAGAGGGAGGAGGCAAAUCCUGUGCCAAGAACUCCAAAAACGCUUCCCAUGAACUAUUCAGUGCAAACCCCUAUACCAGGCUCUAAUGUGACUUCUAGCAGCCUAAGGCCACACCCUGGGAUGACCCAGCCCCCUCGAGCUCCUGUCUGGAAAAGCGCAACGCGGCCAAAUGAAUUUACCGUUUGUUCCAGCCAACACCUGAGGACAGCCCCCUGACCUCCAUAGAACAUUUACUUUAAAAACUUGCCAUCCUAGGGCCUGUCCCAGUAGCUGAGUAGUUAACGUUCUACGUGCUCCAUUUUGGCGGCCCAGGUUCACAGGGUCGGAUCCCGGGUGCCGACCUCCUCCACUAACCAGCCUCACUGUGGAGGUGUCCCACAUACAAAAAAUAGGAAGAUUGGCCUAGAUGUUAGCUCAGGGCAAUCUACCUCAGCAAAAA